Non-coding RNA from Corylus avellana, 421 nucleotides. The record is from RefSeq and is a predicted model, not a curated record. NCBI's taxonomy places the organism in Eukaryota, Viridiplantae, Streptophyta, Magnoliopsida, Fagales, Betulaceae.
CCUCCAUAGCCUCCAUCUCUCAUUCUCUCCCUCUCUGAGCACUCUCCAUAACCAACAUUUGGUAACUUUAGUCGUUUUGGCUCUUUUGGGUCCGGCGGGGUUCAUAGAAAAUCGAAAUCAAGUUCCUGUUUUGCAGCGUAUUCACUUCAAUUGAGAAGUUGUGCUGAAAUUAAUUUGAAGACAGAGAAGAAGAAGGAAGAGUUUACACAGAAUUAUGCCAAGGAUUGACAAAGAUAGAAAAAUCAAAGGCAUACUAUCUUAUUGAUAGAUUGAUUCGUCUUGUUUUGAUUCUUCUAAUGUCUACAGUAACUACCGAACGAGCAUUUUCAGCAAUGAAAAUUGUUAAGACACGACUUCGCAAUAAAAUGGAGCAUGAUUUUCUUGCAAGUAGUUUAGUUCUCUAUAUUGAAAGGAAAAUUGC